AGAUUGAACGCUGGCGGCAGGCCUAACACAUGCAAGUCGAGCGGCAGCACGGGUACUUGUACCUGGCGGCGAGCGGCGGACGGGUGAGUAAUAUAUCGGAACGUGCCCAGUAGCGGGGGAUAACUACGCGAAAGCGUGGCUAAUACCGCAUACGCCCUACGGGGGAAAGGGGGGGAUUCUUCGGAACCUCUCACUAUUGGAGCGGCCGAUAUCAGAUUAGCUAGUUGGUGAGGUAAAGGCUCACCAAGGCGACGAUCUGUAGCUGGUUGAGAGGACGACAGCCACACUGGGACUGAGACACGGCCCAGACUCCUACGGGAGCAGCAGUGGGAAUUUGGACAAGUGGGAACCUGAUCCAGCAUCCGCGUGUGCGAUAGAACGGCCGUUCGGGUUAGUAAAGCGUACGUUUUGGCCGUAGGAACGUAACGGACGUUACCCGUUAAGUACGGGCGU
RNAcentral lists this ribosomal RNA (453 nucleotides) under uncultured soil bacterium. RNAcentral's name for it is "bacterial SSU rRNA". It matches the Rfam family "Bacterial small subunit ribosomal RNA", at positions 26 to 484 of the family's 1533-position model. The record is from RNAcentral.